This 292-nucleotide ribosomal RNA is filed under the name uncultured bacterium. Its description in RNAcentral is "partial 16S ribosomal RNA". It matches the Rfam family "Bacterial small subunit ribosomal RNA", at positions 505 to 796 of the family's 1533-position model. The record is from RNAcentral.
GUGCCAGCCGCCGCGGUAAUACGUAGGCAGCGAGCGUUGUUCGGAGUUACUGGGCGUAAAGAGUGCGUAGGCGGUGCUCUAAGUUUGGUGUGAAAUCUCCCGGCUUAACCGGGAGGGUGCGCCGAAAACUGGAGUGCUUGAGUGCGGGAGAGGAGAGCGGAAUUCCUGGUGUAGCGGUGAAAUGCGUAGAUAUCAGGAGGAACACCUGCGGUGUAGACGGCUCUCUGGACCGCCACUGACGCUGAGGCACGAAAGCGUGGGGAGCAAACAGGAUUAGAAACCCCUGUAGUCC